GUGACAGAGUGAGACCCUGUCUCAAAACAACAAAAAAGUAGCAGCUAACAUCAACUGACCUUUUACCAGGUGCCUAUUGAUACCAUAGUUUAAUUUCUUAUAACUGUUUCUUAUUUCACUUACCAACUCUGUCUUCAGUUACUCCCAGAUUUUUACUGUGUGUGUACAGAUGACCUUUUGUUUAGAUUGAAUUGUCUCCCCAGAAGUAAGAUUACUGUGAGUCAUGGUGAAUGGACAUUCUCCUUACCCUUGAUGUAAAUUGACAGGGUUUUGGGUGCCUCCCAGCUAUAAUCUUAGCACUUUGGGAGGCUAAGAGAGGAGGAUUGCUUGAGGCCAAGAGUUGGAGGAGGCAGUAUGGCAGUAUGGUGAGACCCUGUCUCCAUUAUUUUAAAAAAUUGACAGGCCCAGCCUCUGCCUCCCGUCAGCCUCUACAGUCCCAACGUCUGCCUCACAGCAGAUUCUUCACGCCCAGCAUCUACCUCACUGUGGACCCCCCAAGCCAAGCUCCCAACCUUUCAGCAGCUUCUACACACCCAGCUCCUGCCACCCAGUGGCCUCUUUAGGCCAAGCUCAUGCUUCACAAGGGCCUUUCCAGGCCCAACUUUUG
This 607-nucleotide long non-coding RNA is filed under the name Homo sapiens (human). RNAcentral describes it as "HSALNT0099189". The record is from RNAcentral. Lineage: Eukaryota; Metazoa; Chordata; Mammalia; Primates; Hominidae.